Molecule: ribosomal RNA, 253 nt
Filed under: uncultured bacterium
Lineage: Bacteria
Description: partial 16S ribosomal RNA
Rfam family: Bacterial small subunit ribosomal RNA
Source: RNAcentral
GACGAACCGUACGAACGUUAUUCGGAAUCACUGGGCUUAAAGGGUGCGUAGGCGGCGCAGAAAGUUGGGUGUGAAAUCCCUCGGCUCAACCGAGGAACUGCGCCCAAAACUACUGUGCUCGAGGGAGACAGAGGUGAGCGGAACUUAGGGUGGAGCGGUGAAAUGCGUUGAUAUCCUAAGGAACACCGGUGGCGAAAGCGGCUCACUGGGUCUCUUCUGACGCUGAGGAGCGAAAGCGUGGGGAGCGAACAGG